Molecule: ribosomal RNA, 398 nt
Filed under: uncultured bacterium
Lineage: Bacteria
Description: partial 16S ribosomal RNA
Rfam family: Bacterial small subunit ribosomal RNA
Source: RNAcentral
AUACGUAGGGUGCGAGCGUUGUCCGGAAUUACUGGGCGUAAAGAGCUCGUAGGUGGUUUGUCGCGUCGUCUGUGAAAUUCCGGGGCUUAACUCCGGGCGUGCAGGCGAUACGGGCAUAACUUGAGUACUGUAGGGGAGACUGGAAUUCCUGGUGUAGCGGUGAAAUGCGCAGAUAUCAGGAGGAACACCGGUGGCGAAGGGGGGUCGCUGGGCAGUAACUGACGCUGAGGAGCGAAAGCAUGGGUGGCGAACAGGAUUAGAUCCCCUGGUAGUCCAUGCCGUAAACGGUGGGCGCUAGGUGUAGGGGUCUUCCACGACUUCUGUGCCGUAGCUAACGCAUUAAGCGCCCCGCCUGGGGAGUACGGCCGCAAGGCUAAAACUCAAAUGAAUUGACGGGG